Molecule: ribosomal RNA, 244 nt
Filed under: uncultured bacterium
Lineage: Bacteria
Description: partial 16S ribosomal RNA
Rfam family: Bacterial small subunit ribosomal RNA
Source: RNAcentral
UGAGCAAUCUGCCCUUCUCUUCGGAAUAAGCGUUGGAAACGACGUCUAAUGCCGAAUACGACCUCCUUUCGCAUGAUCGGAGGUGGAAAGCUCCGGCGGAGAAGGAUGAGCUCGCGGCCUAUCAGCUAGUUGGUGUGGGUAAUGGCCCACCAAGGCGACGACGGGUAGCCGGCCUGAGAGGGUGACCGGCCACACUGGGACUGAGACACCGGCCCAGACCUCCCGUACGGGGACGGNACGGACG